UAGAAGUGAGCAUGCAGGCAUGAGUAGCGAUAAUUAAUGUGAGAAUCAUUAACGCCGUAAACCCAAGGUUUCCUACGCGAUGCUCGUCAUCGUAGGGUUAGUCGGGUCCUAAGUCGAGUCCGAAAGGGGUAGACGAUGGCAAAUUGGUUAAUAUUCCAAUACCAACAUUAGUGUGCGAUGGAAGGACGCUUAGGGCUAAGGGGGCUAGCGGAUGGAAGUGCUAGUCUAAGGUCGUAGGAGGUUAUACAGGCAAAUCCGUAUAACAAUACUCCGAGAACUGAAAGGCUUUUUGAAGUCUUCGGAUGGAUAGAAGAACCCCUGAUGCCGUCGAGCCAAGAAAAGUUUCUAAGUUUAGCUAAUGUUGCCCGUACCGUAAACCGACACAGGUGGGUGGGAUGAGUAUUCUAAGGCGCGUGGAAGAACUCUCUUUAAGGAACUCUGCAAAAUAGCACCGUAUCU
This 459-nucleotide ribosomal RNA is filed under the name Campylobacter jejuni. Its description in RNAcentral is "partial 23S ribosomal RNA". It matches the Rfam family "Bacterial large subunit ribosomal RNA", at positions 1283 to 1735 of the family's 2925-position model. Lineage: Bacteria; Pseudomonadati; Campylobacterota; Epsilonproteobacteria; Campylobacterales; Campylobacteraceae. The record is from RNAcentral.